UUUUCAGUGAUCUCUGGUCUGUAGCAGGACAUCUUACCCCUCACAAGAGCUUGCCCGUUGCCUGUCAACCAGUAAGAUAACUGAAACAGGAACAGCUCUCUUGUAGAGAGUUAUUUUGGCACCACAGGGUUUUAACACUGGUCUGGCAUCUCCCAACUGCCAAUAAGCAUCUUAAUGUCGACAUGAGAUCUGGGAGAUUAGCUGGAUUUCUCACUGACAGACAUCUCACUUUACAAAGUAUGAAAACUACACCAAACUCUCACAAAGCAGAAAUGCUCGAUGCAUUUCAUGGAAAUGUAUGGAGUUUUUCCCAUGAGUAGGGAUGCCUGCUUCCCGGUUACUCCCACAGAGAUUGAAGGAAUCAUAAUUUUGGUGGUCUUGUUUGCGAAGCAGCAGAAUAACAUUGAGUUCUACGUCUUAAUACUUCGUAAAGAAUUCUAAACCUAAUUAAUGGAGCCAGAAGUAUGCUGGACUGACUGCAGUUAAAAAUCUUGAAGAUAAAGUUAGCAAAGAGGCCUCUACCAAGGAACACUACAAUUUCAGACUUCUCUGCCAAGAGGAGAUAAGAACAUCACAGCUCUGAUCUUUUGCCCUGUAAAUAUUCAGAGAAGAGUACCAACAGAUCCACUUCAUGAUAUAUAUCAGAUGAUCUGCUGUUUACAUAUCUUCAGUAUAAACUACAAAAACCAGA
Molecule: non-coding RNA, 691 nt
Organism: Cyanistes caeruleus (blue tit)
Lineage: Eukaryota; Metazoa; Chordata; Aves; Passeriformes; Paridae
Source: RefSeq, a predicted model, not a curated record